This 438-nucleotide ribosomal RNA is filed under the name uncultured bacterium. Its description in RNAcentral is "bacterial SSU rRNA". It matches the Rfam family "Bacterial small subunit ribosomal RNA", at positions 338 to 773 of the family's 1533-position model. The record is from RNAcentral.
CCUACGGGAGGCAGCAGUGAGGAAUAUUGGUCAAUGGGCGCAAGCCUGAACCAGCCAAGUCGCGUGAGGGAAGACGGUCCUAUGGAUUGUAAACCUCUUUUGUCGGGGAGCAAAGCGCGGUACGAGUACCGUGAAGGAGAGUACCCGAAGAAAAAGCAUCGGCUAACUCCGUGCCAGCAGCCGCGGUAAUACGGAGGAUGCGAGCGUUAUCCGGAUUUAUUGGGUUUAAAGGGUGCGUAGGCGGAUUUGUAAGUCAGCGGUAAAAAUGCGGUGCUCAACGCCGUAUCGCCGUUGAAACUGCGGGUCUUGAGUGAGCGAGAAGUAUGCGGAAUGCGUGGUGUAGCGGUGAAAUGCAUAGAUAUCACGCAGAACUCCGAUUGCGAAGGCAGCAUACCGGCGCUCAACUGACGCUGAGGCACGAAAGCGUGGGGAUCGAAC